UACGUAGGUGGCAAGCGUUAUCCGGAAUUAUUGGGCGUAAAGCGCGCGUAGGCGGUUUUUUAAGUCUGAUGUGAAAGCCCACGGCUCAACCGUGGGGGGUCAUUGGAAACUGGAAAACUUGAGUGCAGAAGAGGAAAGUGGAAUUCCAUGUGUAGCGGUGAAAUGCGCAGAGAUAUGGAGGAACACCAGUGGCGAAGGCGACUUUCUGGUCUGUAACUGACGCUGAUGUGCGAAAGCGUGGGGAUCAAACAGGAUUAGAUA
RNAcentral lists this ribosomal RNA (261 nucleotides) under uncultured Staphylococcus sp. RNAcentral describes it as "partial 16S ribosomal RNA". It matches the Rfam family "Bacterial small subunit ribosomal RNA", at positions 524 to 784 of the family's 1533-position model. The record is from RNAcentral. Lineage: Bacteria; Bacillati; Bacillota; Bacilli; Caryophanales; Staphylococcaceae.